UUAGCUAUACACUUGAUGCAAAUUUGCUGGGGUCAAGGGCACAUGUACAUCCAUAAACAACACUUUAUUCAAAUAAGCAACGUCUUGUUGCGGCUACUAAUGCCUAGCCGAUUAACUUGAAAGCAGCAGCUUUCCUUGCAAGCUGCACUCGUGUGUUGGGAGACAGGUCAAAUACUGGGCUACCAAAUGGAGCUUCAUUCAAAUAACCAUCACGCGGAUCAUGCUCAUCUCCUGCAGUAGAAUAGGUAAAGUCGUUCAAUCAUCAUGGCUGACUAAGCAUGUACUUCAUUUAGAUUCUUCACACGCAAUUUUUGAAUGGUCAAUUAUUCAAUACAGAAUACUAUGCAAAAGAAUCAAGUUGGUAUAUUGAGUACUAAAAAUGCUACUAAAUUUGAGAGUAUAUAUAUGCUUCAAAUUCCUACAAAACUAUGUGGCUUCAAUAGAACUCCAUGCAAGGGGGCUGGUGUAGCAUCAAAGAUAAUGCCUACCACAAAAAAGAUGAGGAUCAAAAGUUCUUAACAUGGAAAUGAUGGUGGUAUAAAAAAGAAUUUUGACAUAAAUAAAAUCCCAAUAAUAUAAGCAACAAUGACAGUACGAAUCAAUAGAACUGCCAGGUGGUGGAUGCAGUGACACUCAGGUUUGCUCACAACCUCUACAAUACCACCUACAUAGCACUUAAUAGAUACUGAAAUAAUGCAGGAAUAGAUUUACACAAACUCUUGGUUUCACCAGCCAAGCGUUGGAGGAGCAUAUCAACGAAGGGAGCACCUACAACACGGUGGAUGAAACCGACAACAAACUGGCGGAGAAUUGAAGGAGACCUCCACACAUUAU
This 834-nucleotide long non-coding RNA is filed under the name Setaria italica (foxtail millet). Its description in RNAcentral is "long non-coding RNA (SITA_LNC002228)". The record is from RNAcentral. Lineage: Eukaryota; Viridiplantae; Streptophyta; Magnoliopsida; Poales; Poaceae.